CUGCUUAGUUCAGAUUGCUCAACAUGUUUAAAGUGCAGGUCCCAUUUGAAAAGGGGCUAUGUAAAAACAGCACCUUCUACUCAGCAAAUCUAUUCCUUGUAUACUUCAAUGAAAGAGGAAGAGUUCACUUAAUGUCUUCCCGGCUGAGCCACCACAGCUCUGGGAGAAGAAACUGGAUUAUAUUCAGGCAAAAACUCCAGGGAAGUCUAUAUGCUGAGUUCUCUUGGUUCUAGUUUUGGUUCAGGAAAUCUCUCAUACGCAUGUGAACUGAAAGAAGAGUGCAGAGAGAUCAUCCUAUCCCACAUCCAUUCAAUUGUAAUGGACUAAGAAAACAGAAAACUAAGAAAAUUGGCCUGAUGAAGUGUUAAAUAACAUCACAAAAAUUAGAGGUGAUUGGAACACUUCCAUCAAACUUAAAUUAGCAAAAUAUAGGAAUAAAAUCUUAA
Molecule: long non-coding RNA, 446 nt
Organism: Chrysemys picta bellii (western painted turtle)
Lineage: Eukaryota; Metazoa; Chordata; Testudines; Emydidae
Source: RefSeq, a predicted model, not a curated record